RNAcentral lists this unclassified non-coding RNA (331 nucleotides) under soil metagenome. RNAcentral's name for it is "partial contains 5.8S ribosomal RNA, internal transcribed spacer 2, and large subunit ribosomal RNA". The stretch from base 1 to 120 matches the Rfam family "5.8S ribosomal RNA", at positions 35 to 154 of the family's 154-position model. The record is from RNAcentral.
GAUGAAGAACGUAGCGAAAUGCGAUAAGUAGUGUGAAUUGCAGAAUUCAGUGAAUCAUCGAAUCUUUGAACGCACAUUGCGCCCUUCGGUAUUCCGUUGGGCAUGCCUGUUCGAGCGUCAUUUAAACCUUCAAGCUAUGCUUGGUGUUGGGUGUUUGUUCCGCCUCUGCGCGUGGACUCGCCUCAAAUUCAUUGGCAGCCGGUAUGUUGGCUUCGUGCGCAGCACAUUGCAAGCGAUUUCAACAGAACUCCUUCCAUAAGCCCUUUUUUUACUUUGACCUCGGAUCAGGUAGGGAUACCCGCUGAACUUAAGCAUAUCAAUAAGCGGAGGA